This 806-nucleotide long non-coding RNA is filed under the name Homo sapiens (human). RNAcentral describes it as "HSALNT0378965". The record is from RNAcentral. Lineage: Eukaryota; Metazoa; Chordata; Mammalia; Primates; Hominidae.
GAACUCUCCCCUGUGCAAACCACCUCACGAUUUUUCAGGAAGCCAGGGCGAGGAACUUGGAUUCCAAAGCCUAGAGAAAGAUGGCUGACUCGGGGCGGCUGCGCUGCGUUCUCUCCCCUGUGAACUUUGCUCACGUUUUGGACUGGGCAGCAUCUCGCGGUCUGCUCGAGCGGGCUGCCCUUCUGCUUAGAGCUGGACAGUGUUCUCGUCUGCUAGAACGGGAUUUUAUGGUCAACAGGACAUUGCCAUGUGUCACUGCAACACUUAGAGGGUAGUUUGAACUGGGAUUGAAGGUCUGUCUGGCUGCUUUCCCCGGCAGGCCCCAAACUGGCUUGGAUGCAAUUGAGCCAGCAUUUUCCAAGGUACUCUCAUUCACAGUCAUAAGGGACAAACGCAUCUCAUGUGAAAAACUCAAAGGCCAAGGAGGCCAGGGCAUGAAGUAUUAAGUUGAUUUUAUUCGGUUUCACAGAAGGCAGUUCUGUCUUGUUGACUAGCAACAUUGUGACAAAUUGUUCUCGAUUAAAUGCUUAUUAUGUGUUUAUUUAGCUGUUUGCCUGGAACUAGAGAAGAAAAAAAAAUGUGUUACAGUGUAUGGCAAUAUUCUAUCCUUUCAUAAUUGUACCAGAGAAAUAUGGCAUUUUCUCUCCUAAAUUUGUACUUAUUUCGGGCUCUCUCACACUCUCCUGACAAGUCUGAUACUCCAGAACUUCCCAACAAUAAGAGAGACCAGGGAAAACAAACAAAAAAACUUGGUUUUAAUGGAAAAUAAGAGAAGAAGCUAAAUAUAGCUCUUGACUUUCACAGAA